GACCCCUGCGUCCCGGGGGCACAGGCGUUCUUAAGGCUGCAGAGCCCUGGGUCCCCCACCCGGCCCCGGUUCACUUUGAGCGGUCCCAAGGCCUGAGGGCCUACUGUCCAGUCCCCAGGUUAUCGUCCUGAGCAAAGACAGACCCCGAGCCCUGCGGUCUUGGGGCUCAAACAGUCCCUGGAUGGCCAAACAAGCAAAUAUUCGCCAUGGCAGUGGGUGCUGGAAGGGUGGCUCACGGAGCUGACGCCCUCCGCAGAGAACCGUGGUCUAGUCCUGCGGUCACGAGGCCUAUCUGGGACAGUGGUGUUUGAGCUGAGACUUUAACGAAUAGAGACAGGUGAGGUUCCUGCAGCCCAGGGCUUCAGGAUUUCAUCAAAUGGUCUGCUGCACUGUGCUGGAAUUUUGAACUCCCCAGAGUAGUAAACAACAUCUUCUCAAGGGUAUACAAGUCAUCAGAUAGAGAAAACACCCAUUAUAGAGCUGUGGAGCCCUUACGAUAUAGUGCUAUGCUGCAACAAAUUAGACAGAAGAGUAUUUGUUGAAUAAUAAAAGGUAUCAAUGAACGAACAAAUAAAUUAAUGAGCUGAUGUAUUGAUUAAAUGAAUUUACUUCUUUCAGAUUUACUUUUCCAAACUAAAAAAAAAUUGUUUUAAACUUUGUUCCAAAGUUAUACAGUUUUUACAAAAAUAAAACUUUAUUUUUGAAUUGCUUUAUAUUUACAGAAAAGUUGCAAAGAUAUGGAAAGUUGCCUCACCCUAUAAUUAGCUUCUGACAUUAGUAUGGUACAUUUGUCACAAUUAUUGAACCAGUAUUGAUGAUAUGUUAUUAUUAACUAAAUUCUAUACUUUAUAAAGAUUUCCUCAGUUUUUACCUAAUGCCAUUUCUCUGUUCCAGGAACCCAUCCCAGAAAUCACAUUUCAUAUUGAUAUCAAGUUUCCUAAGACUCCUCUUCGUAGGUACAGUUUCAGGGCCAAAAUUUUAAGGGCCUUGAGUGUUUUGAGCAGUACUGGACAGGUGUUUUUUAGGAUGUCCCUCGACUGAGCUUUGACUGAUGAAUUGCUCAUGAUUGAAUUGGGACUAUGGGUCUUCAGAAGAAAGAUCAUGAGCCCUUUUUGUCACAUCAUGUCAAAGAUACCAUGCCAUCAAUACAACUUAUUACUGAUGAUGUUGACAUUGACCACUUGACUGAGAUAACAUUUGUCAGAUUUCUCCACUGUAAAGUUACUUUUCCCCACUUUCCAUACUAUACUCUUUUGUAGGAAGUCACUAUGCACAGGCCAUACUUAAAGAGAGCUCCAUCUCCUUGAGGGCAGAGUAACUACAUUAAAUAUUUGAAAUCUUUCUGCCCAGGAGAUUUGUCUAUUUUUCCAAUUUAUUUAUUCAAUCUAUUAUUAUUAUGUUAGAUAUGAGACCUUGCUAUGUUGCCUAGAUGGGUCUCAAACUCCUGAGCUCAAGUAAUCCUUCUGUCUCAGCCUCCUGAGCAGGUGGGACUAUAGGCAUGCACCACUGCACCUGACAAUCAUUUAUUGAUGGCAGUAUGAACUCAUGGACAUUUGUUUUAUCCUUAAGUUAUAACCCAAUAUUAUAUUAUUUUAUUGCUAAAUUAUUUCAGUUUUGGCCAUUGAAGCUCUUUUGUUUAAUGCCCAUGUCAUUUUGACAUACCUCUAUCAUUGUGGGAUUUCUUUUUACUUUUUUGCAGAUAUUUCUUUAGUUUUUGGCACUACAAGAGGCUCUAGUUUCAUCAUCUAUCCUGCCCCAGCCCAAGAUUCAACCAUUUCUUCAAGUAGCCCUUGCUCUUUUUUACUGUACAUUGUAAUUAAUAAUCAAGUUCUUGGCACUAGGUUCUUCAGAAAUUUUUUUUUAGUUUAUAUGUUUGUUGAUAAGGUAUUGAUAAAGAUUCUGCUAGUGAUUACCAAUGUAACUUUUGGCAAAUUAUCUGAAACAUGGAAAUAAUAAUUUCUACUUCAUAGGACUGUUGUACAUUUUAAAUGGAUUCACUAGGAUAGUGCACGGAGUAAAAGGAAACAAAUAGUAACUCUAAAUGGUAUUAUUACAAAUUCAUU
This 2063-nucleotide long non-coding RNA is filed under the name Homo sapiens (human). RNAcentral's name for it is "HSALNT0312316". The record is from RNAcentral. Lineage: Eukaryota; Metazoa; Chordata; Mammalia; Primates; Hominidae.